RNAcentral lists this ribosomal RNA (506 nucleotides) under uncultured bacterium. Its description in RNAcentral is "partial 16S ribosomal RNA". It matches the Rfam family "Bacterial small subunit ribosomal RNA", at positions 29 to 523 of the family's 1533-position model. The record is from RNAcentral.
AUUGAACGCUGGCGGCAGGCCUAACACAUGCAAGUCGAACGGCAGCACAGAAGAGCUUGCUCUUUGGGUGGCGAGUGGCGGACGGGUGAGUAAUGUCUGGGAAACUGCCCGAUGGAGGGGGAUAACUACUGGAAACGGUAGCUAAUACCGCAUAACGUCGCAAGACCAAAGUGGGGGACCUUCGGGCCUCACACCAUCGGAUGGGCCCAGAUGGGAUUAGCUAGUAGGUGGGGUAAUGGCUCACCUAGGCGACGAUCCCUAGCUGGUCUGAGAGGAUGACCAGCCACACUGGAACUGAGACACGGUCCAGACUCCUACGGGAGGCAGCAGUGGGGAAUAUUGCACAAUGGGCGCAAGCCUGAUGCAGCCAUGCCGCGUGUAUGAAGAAGGCCUUCGGGUUGUAAAGUACUUUCAGCGGGGAGGAAGGCGGUGAGGUUAAUAACCUCGCCGAUUGACGUUACCCGCAGAAGAAGCACCGGCUAACCCCGUGCCAGCAGCCGCCGUAA